This 301-nucleotide ribosomal RNA is filed under the name uncultured bacterium. Its description in RNAcentral is "partial 16S ribosomal RNA". It matches the Rfam family "Bacterial small subunit ribosomal RNA", at positions 509 to 807 of the family's 1533-position model. The record is from RNAcentral.
CAGUCGCCGCGGUAAUACGAAGGGGGCUAGCGUUGCUCGGAAUCACUGGGCGUAAAGGGUGCGUAGGCGGGUCUUUAAGUCAGGGGUGAAAUCCUGGAGCUCAACUCCAGAACUGCCUUUGAUACUGAAGAUCUUGAGUUCGGGAGAGGUGAGUGGAACUGCGAGUGUAGAGGUGAAAUUCGUAGAUAUUCGCAAGAACACCAGUGGCGAAGGCGGCUCACUGGCCCGAUACUGACGCUGAGGCACGAAAGCGUGGGGAGCAAACAGGAUUAGAUACCCGUGUAGUCCCUGUCUCUUAUAC